AUGUCCGGCCGCGGGAAGCAGGGGGGCAAAGUCCGCGCCAAGGCCAAGUCGCGCUCGUCGCGGGCCGGGCUGCAGUUCCCCGUGGGCCGCGUGCACCGUCUCCUCCGGAAAGGUGACUACGCGGGGCCCCGGUGUACCUGGCGGCCGUGCUGGAGUACCUGACGGCCGAGAUCCUGGAGCUGGCGGGCAACGCGGCCCGCGACAACAAGAAGACGCGCAUCAUCCCCCGCCACCUGCAGCUGGCCAUCCGCAACGACGAGGAGCUCAACAAGCUGCUGGGCAAGGUGACCAUCGCGCAGGGCGGGGUGCUGCCCAACAUCCAGGCCGUGCUCCUGCCCAAGAAGACUGAGAGCCACAAGGCUAAAAGUAAAUAAACCUUAAUGAGCAAAGCCUCUCAGACUUGUCAAAACUUCACAAACACCCCAAAGGCUCUUUUCAGAGC
This is an RNA transcript of Eurypyga helias (sunbittern), 442 nucleotides long. It is a transcript of the gene named histone H2A.J-like, with no coding region annotated. The transcript has a single exon. The record is from RefSeq and is a predicted model, not a curated record. NCBI's taxonomy places the organism in Eukaryota, Metazoa, Chordata, Aves, Eurypygiformes, Eurypygidae.